AGUAUUAAGCUGAGGAAUGCAUUAUCCUGCGUGGAAGCCUACAAAGAUGUUUGUUCUUCCGGUUCACAUGUCAGAUUAUUCAAUGCUAUUGUAUCAACACUCCAGCCAGAGCUGUAUGGAUGUUCUGGUUCUGUUAGGGAACAGUGCGAAUUGUUUUCAGUUGCGGGAUGCAUUAAAAGAUUUAACAUUCACCGCAUGUACCAUCUCGAAGCAACAGGGUCAUCAAUGUACGAAGAAAGCCUUUGUCAGCACCUCAGAACAGCCAAGGGUUGCAUUGCUCCGUUUGAACUACCUUGUAAAAAUAAUCCUUCAUUUGCAACUAUAAACUUUAAGACAUAUCUAG
Long non-coding RNA from Saccostrea echinata, 343 nucleotides. RefSeq lists it as uncharacterized. The transcript is spliced from 3 exons. Lineage: Eukaryota; Metazoa; Mollusca; Bivalvia; Ostreida; Ostreidae. The record is from RefSeq and is a predicted model, not a curated record.